AUUCCAUGAUGGGGACAUUCUAGGAUGUAGUCUUGAAAGCGCUCCCAUGAUUCUGGAACAGAUUCAUCAUUUUGUUGCUGAAAACUUGUAAUCUUCCCACGGAGAGC
RNAcentral lists this small nucleolar RNA (107 nucleotides) under Sorghum bicolor (sorghum). RNAcentral's name for it is "Plant small nucleolar RNA R71". It matches the Rfam family "Plant small nucleolar RNA R71". Rfam says of the family: R71 is a member of the C/D box family of snoRNAs containing the C (UGAUGA) and D (CUGA) box motifs. Multiple nearly identical copies of this snoRNA have been identified in Arabidopsis, and it is thought to function as a 2'-O-ribose methylation guide for 18S ribosomal RNA. Lineage: Eukaryota; Viridiplantae; Streptophyta; Magnoliopsida; Poales; Poaceae. The record is from Rfam by way of RNAcentral.